Acanthosepion pharaonis is the source of this 86-nucleotide non-coding RNA. NCBI's taxonomy places the organism in Eukaryota, Metazoa, Mollusca, Cephalopoda, Sepiida, Sepiidae. The record is from the annotation of a GenBank genome assembly.
UUCCCGUACGAUCAUCAAAGUUAAGCAACAUCGAGCCUGGUCAGUACCUAGAUGGGUGACUGCUUGGGAAUACCAUGUGUUGUAAG